This 902-nucleotide long non-coding RNA is filed under the name Equus caballus (horse). Its description in RNAcentral is "lncRNA (ENSECAG00000048524.1)". The record is from RNAcentral. Lineage: Eukaryota; Metazoa; Chordata; Mammalia; Perissodactyla; Equidae.
GUCAGAGCUGGGAGCCAGAAUUAGUGGGGCCUUUUAGGCCACCAUAAGGAUUUUGGAUUUUACUCUAAGAUAGGAAAUCAUUGAAGGACUGAUUUGACCGAAUCUCUUUAGCUGCUUUGUAGAAAAUAAACACAAGGGUAAAAGUGGAAACGGGAAGAUUGAUUAGGGGGCUAUUAUGAUCCUUCUGGCAGUGUGGUUGACAAUGGUCCAGGUGAGGCAAGGAGUGAGGGAGUGGCAAGCUGCCGAAUACAUUUUGAAGGCCAAAAUGACAGAAUUUGCAGACAAAUUUGUUUUGGAGUACAAGAGAACAAAAGGAAUCAAAGACGACGCCAGGAUUUUUGGCCUGAGCAACUAAAAGAUGGACUUGCCCUUUACAGAGAAGAGGAAGAGGAAGACUGGAGCAGUUUUUCCUCCUAGGAGGAAGGAGCAGCCAGAAAAGCAGAAUGAGAAGGAACAAUCUGUGAGGCUGGAGGAGACCCCAGAGCAAGUGUACUUUGUACCCUGGAGGCCAACGGGAAAAAAGUGUUUUAAGAAAGAGUCAUCAUUUGUGUCAAACGCUGGCAGGAAAAGAUAACGACAGACAACUGACCAUUGAAUUUGAUCAUGUGAAGCCAGUUUCUUUGGAAUGCUGGAGACAAAGCCAUUCUGAAAAGAAUGGAAGAAAGAAAGUGAGACAAGAAUAGACAACCCUUUUGAGGAGUUUCUCUGCCAAGCUAUUGAUCUUCCUGAAGACCUCAACUGAUUACAAGGAGAAACAUUCUGAAAGACUUCCUGCUCGCUCCCUGGCGUGUGCCAGAAAUGGUAAAUGUGGAACUCUGUCAGUGACUCUUUCUGGAGCUGUAACUCUUGGACGGUUGGACACCCCUUUGCUCUGAGGCCUUGUGCCUCAUACACAAUUCAGG